AAAGCGACCACAGCGGCAACAUCAUCAACUCAUUCUGGACAAAUCUCAACGAAAUGGAUCGAAAAAUAGCCUUCGCUUUUCUGUUCGUGAUUCUUCAAGUUACUACAGUUUCGGCCGGUUGGGGUAGCCUGCUUCGUGUGGAGACCAAAGCAAUUCUAGGUACACUGGCUUUACGCCGACGUACUUGGAACGAGAACAAGGCAUCCCAGCAAAUAACUCCUGAGAUGGAAGAAAAAUUAGACGCUGAAAUGGAAAAAUUAAUGCAGCAACUGGCAGAGGACCAACAAUAGCAUGGAUUGAAUAAGAAAUACCAUUUAGU
Non-coding RNA from Ciona intestinalis (vase tunicate), 319 nucleotides. The record is from RefSeq and is a predicted model, not a curated record. NCBI's taxonomy places the organism in Eukaryota, Metazoa, Chordata, Ascidiacea, Phlebobranchia, Cionidae.